This 76-nucleotide transfer RNA is filed under the name Desulfobacteraceae bacterium. RNAcentral's name for it is "tRNA-Thr". It matches the Rfam family "tRNA". From Rfam's summary of the family: Transfer RNA (tRNA) molecules are approximately 80 nucleotides in length. RNAcentral also lists the same sequence under 1 other name. Lineage: Bacteria; Pseudomonadati; Thermodesulfobacteriota; Desulfobacteria; Desulfobacterales; Desulfobacteraceae. The record is from RNAcentral.
GCCAGCGUAGCUCAGUUGGUAGAGCUACUGAUUUGUAAUCAGUGGGUCGGGGGUUCAAGUCCCUCCGCUGGCUCCA